Molecule: transfer RNA, 72 nt
Filed under: Daphnia pulex (common water flea)
Lineage: Eukaryota; Metazoa; Arthropoda; Branchiopoda; Diplostraca; Daphniidae
Rfam family: tRNA
About the family: Transfer RNA (tRNA) molecules are approximately 80 nucleotides in length. Their secondary structure includes four short double-helical elements and three loops (D, anti-codon, and T loops).
Source: Rfam by way of RNAcentral
UCCCAUAUGGUCUAGUGGCUAGGAUAUCUGGCUUUCACCCAGGAGACUCGGGUUCGAUUCCCGGUAUGGGAA